RNA transcript from Podarcis raffonei (Aeolian wall lizard), 2914 nucleotides. It is a transcript of the gene named charged multivesicular body protein 4C, with no coding region annotated. The record is from RefSeq and is a predicted model, not a curated record. The transcript has 6 exons. Lineage: Eukaryota; Metazoa; Chordata; Lepidosauria; Squamata; Lacertidae.
CAAACGAAUCACUGCUCAACCCAGGAAUGUAGGGAAGGAAGGAGAACGAGGGCGCUGGCGAGCAUGUGCAGAGUGCAGCGGCUGUCCCACGGCUUGGCUGGUUCUUCCUGCUGGGGCUCCCGUUUGAGAAGAGCCUCUCCGCUGGCGCCGCACGUUCCCCAGGUGGCAACACCUGUCGCAGGUACGUGUGGGUCACGUGGCUCGGCCGUCGGCCUCGGGAGCCGCCGCAACAGCAGCCACUUCCUUCCCCUCCUGGCGCUUCUCUGGCGCGUCUCUGAGCUUGUUUUCUAGGGAAGAGCUCUAGGGAGUUAGGGGCGUCGAGGAGGCGCGAUCGUAUCCCUGGCAAAGGCGGCUGGUCCUCGGCGGGGCGAAGAUGAGCAAGAUCCACAAGUUUUUCAAGGGCGGAGGAGGCGCCAAGGGGAAAGGCAAAGGGGGCCCGAGCCCGCAGGAGGCUUUAGCCCGGCUGCGGGAGACCGAGGAGAUGCUGACCAAGAAGCAGGAGUAUCUGGAGGCGAGGAUCCAAAAGGAGCUGGCGCUGGCCAAGAAACACGGCACCCGAGACAAGCGAGCUGCACUGCAGGCACUGAAGAGGAAAAAGAGAUACGAGAAACAGUUGACCCAAAUCGAUGGGACCCUUUCCACCAUUGAAUUCCAACGCGAAGCCCUUGAAAAUUCCUACACUAACACAGAAGUGUUCAAGAACAUGGGCUAUGCAGCCCAAGCGAUGAAAAAGGUGCAUGAAAACAUGGACUUGGACAAAAUUGACGACAUGAUGCAAGAUAUCACUGAACAGCAAGAUAUCGCUCAGGAAAUCACAGAAGCUCUUACCAGAAAAGUUGGUGAUGACUUUGAUGAGGAUGAACUGUUGGCAGAACUGGAAGAACUGGAGCAAGAAGAACUCAAUAAUAAAAUGGCAAAUGUUCGACUACCAAGUGUACCAGCUACGCCGCUGCCUUCCCAUCCUGCAUCUUCAAGGAAGAGGGUGGAAGAUGAAGAUGAUAUGCAGCAGCUUGCGGCAUGGGCUUCUUAACAGCAAUCUACAGGGUUACGGGAAACGCCAUGGAAGAAGUUUAUGGAACAGUGUUUUGUUUUACACAGAGCAUGGCUGUGUUUGAUACAGUCCGGCAUUGGUCCCUGGUGGGAUUUUAUGUCUGUAUGUAUGUGUAUAUGUACACAUGUAUGUAUAUGUGUGUGUGUCUGUAUUUUUAAGAGAGCCAGGAUUACUUAAGACCUGUACUUGAAGUGUGCCUUCUUCUUCAGAUGCAGCCUCAUAUGAAUUUCUUUUUUCAUACAGAAGAAAUCUGAUUAUUUUUUUAUAUUACCGGUGAAAAUUGACUGGGGUAGUCUAUUACUACUACACAGUAUUAUCCUUUGACUCUGAAAGCUCUGUGUAUAGGUACAGGCAUUCAUGCUUAUUACCUGAAUUAAUUGGUUCUGUUCCAUAGAAACAUUCAAAGCUGAGAGCCGAUAUAUGCAGCUCUCCCAGGCUGUUGCUUUUCCUCUUUUGUACGUACUGACUUUUGCUUGUACAGGUUGAAACCCUGUUUGCUGCAGAGGAUGGUAUGAGCAGGCAUGUUUCUAAUAUAGAGCAACAUCCUCUGUAGAGUUUCAAACAAGUUUGGAGUUGUUGGAAUAUGUGGUCCAUUUGGUCCCACUAGGUAGAGAUGAAGGAGAAAUUUGAUUUCGUUUUAAUGCACACCUCCCCAAACAACACACAAGCCACAAAAUGCGCUUAUCCUUCAAUAUUUGCACUUUUCUGAAUUUUGCAAUGCAGUUUUCCAACCAAAAGGUGUAAAAAUGUGUCUGUUAAGAGAGUUUGCAUUAAAAUGUGUUACAUUAGGAGAAAUUGCCUUCACAAAUAUGUAUAACAGAAGAACCUCGCAAACUGAUUUGGAAAUAUGAUGAACCUAUUUUAAAAUCUAACAUACCAACAACUGGGAGACACCAAAAUUGGCAGAUUCAUCUACCCCUACAGGGUGUCGUGAAAAUAUUUGUCUAAGUCCUGCCAGAGUUUUGUGCUGUUGGAUUUCUUUGCUUUCUAUGGGAGUUUCCUUCCAUGUAGCUACUUGUUCACUCGGGGUCCUAUAUGGAAGAGCCAAAGACUGAUGUGGCACCUUAAAGACUAGCACACUAUCUUUGUCAAGUGUAUACAGUGAAAGACAACUUGGGUCUUGUAUAGGCACAUAACACAUGAAGAGCUCUGCAGUCUAAAAUGCUGGAUGCAGUUUGGCUUGCUAUAAGUGGCUAAAUUCCACUGAGUUUUUGUGUGUUUGAUUGCUAAAAUGGAGUUAAUUUUAGCCAACAAAGGUAGUUGAGUGGAGCACGUUUGAUGGGGGGGGGCAGGCGGGCUGAGAAACCAGUUUAUAAUGGGUGUUUGGUUUUGUGACCAGCCGACUUCAAACUGAUUUUAUCAGACCGUUUUAGCAUGGAGGUUGCAGUCCACUAAAUCAAAGGGCUGACUUCAUGCUGGAGAAUAGUGGGCAGAGAAUGGCCGAGAAUCUUCUGUUCCCUUUUCCCACUUAGCUUUCUUUUAACACUGAACCUUUCAUAUUGCCAUGCCUAUUAUCCAAUGGAGAAUCUUAAUAGGUUUUUAAGGUUGUGACUUUUGAAAUGUCCUCCUUACACUUGUUCAGUUUCUUUCUUUUUUCCUUUUUGCCUGAAUGAAACACUUUACAUUGGAAUAAUUUAUAUAACUUGAAGUACCAAAUUUCAAACAGGGUCAUUUUUUUUGACCUGGUAGAAACAGAGCUAGGUUUCAGAUGAUUGGAUAAUGAAGAUGCAAAUAAAUAUAUUGUCUGAAAAUAUUUGUGUUUGACUUGGUAAGUGUUUUUCCUAUCUUGCUGUAAAGCAGGGGUGGGAAACCUUUAGUCCCUUCAAAUAUUGUUUGAAUAAUAAUAAUAAUAAUAAUAAUAAU